RNAcentral lists this ribosomal RNA (558 nucleotides) under uncultured archaeon. RNAcentral's name for it is "bacterial SSU rRNA". It matches the Rfam family "Archaeal small subunit ribosomal RNA", at positions 321 to 879 of the family's 1478-position model. The record is from RNAcentral.
CCCUACGGGGCGCAGCAGGCGCGAAAACUUUACAAUGCGGGAAACCGCGAUAAGGGGACACUGAGUGCCAGCAUAUUAUGUUGGCUGUCCACAUGUAUAAAAACCAUGUGUUAGCAAGGGCCGGGCAAGACCGGUGCCAGCCGCCGCGGUAACACCGGCGGCCCGAGUGGUGAUCACUUUUAUUGGGUCUAAAGGGUCCGUAGCCGGUUUGAUCAGUCCUCUGGGAAAUCUGACAGCUCAACUGUUAGGCUUCCAGGGGAUACUGUCAGACUUGGGACCGGGAGAGGUAAGAGGUACUACAGGGGUAGGAGUGAAAUCUUGUAAUCCCUGUGGGACCACCAGUGGCGAAGGCGUCUUACCAGAACGGGUCCGACGGUGAGGGACGAAAGCUAGGGGCACGAACCGGAUUAGAUACCCGGGUAGUCCUAGCCGUAAACGAUGUUCGCUAGGUGUCAGGGACGGUGCGACCGUUUCUGGUGCCGCAGGGAAGCCGUGAAGCGAACCACCUGGGAAGUACGGUCGCAAGGCUGAAACUUAAAGGAAUUGGCGGGGGAGCAC